AAGAGUAAAGUACUUCCGCUUCCUUAGGUGGAGCUGGAAAGGUGGAGGCGGAAGUGACUGAUCAAUUCAGGGGCGUGGGGUUCGUUUAGGUUUUGCCCUGUGUAUGACCUCGUUUGGAGCCAUGAAACCAGGUGGCUUUUCUACAAUAUAAAGAUGGAAAUGGGAAGAAGAUGUUCAUUGCAAAUUAAGGAAGCUCUUCCACGAGUUCACGAAUGGAAAUAACAUCAAGAGUUUUUCAUCUUCUUAGUGUGCAAGGUUAUUUUAGGGCAAUGAUGGAAAGCACCAAGUGGAGUCUGGAGCUAGACUGAUCUGUGUUCAAUCCUGUCUUGGUUACUCAUUGGGGGGCCUCGACUUUCAUGUCUCUGUAAUGUCCCUGACAGUAUCUGCCUCACAGGGUUGCUGUGAGAGUCAAGCGAGAUAAAUAUCAAGGAGUGCAAUUCCUGGAUUUAUGAUGUCUGAGGAAUAGUCUUAGUGGAUUAUCCCAAACUUGACACAUUUUUUGCAAAAUGCUAUACAAAAAGAAGAUACAUGCGAUUAUGACAAGAUUCUCCACUUGGUGUGACCAGUCUCAUACAACCCAAGGCUGUGUGUCCAAAGGCAACUGUACUGAAUACCGGAAAGCAUGUAUUUGUUUGCUAAAUUGCUCUCUUUCCACCAGUGAUAUCAAUUCUGAAAUACUUUUGAGAUCUUGACAAUAAUCAAAAGGUAGCCAGGUGCAUCGGGGAAAGCACUGACAUUGGAGUCAGACAGACUGAAGUUCAUAUCUGAUUCUGCUAUAUGACAACGUGUGGGCUAUGUGGCUAACUUCUCAGAGCUUCAGUUUUCUCAAGGGCAAAAUGAAAAUAAUAGAAAUAAUAGAAUCCACCUCACAGGGCUGUGGUGAGAAUUGGAGAUGAAGCACAUACAGCAUAUUACAUCAACUAAACACAUGCUAAAAAUUAAAGGGGAUGAAAGAUACAUUGGUCCCUGCAGUGGGAAGUUUCCUUGACAAUGCAAUUAUUGAUUCCAGAAGGCUGAACAAAUGUUGACAGAGGAACACACUGUUUGCUUAUGUCUAAUCUUCCCAUCUGACUUAUAUAAAUGUCACAAAUGAAUCUCAGACAUGUGCCCAAUAUCAAAUAUCCAUACGAUGGCCCUGGAAAGAGGCAAUCUACAUUUAUGGCUGAUGAGAAGAUGGAUUUUUAGCUUGAAAGAAACUUAUUACUGGGGAGAGGAAGUAUAAAUGAAUGGAGAGAGCUAUGAAGAGGUUGAGAGAAUACAGCCAAGGCACAUGACAGAAUUGCUCUGUUGAAGUUUUGCAAGGUCAAAUGACUCACUUUGUCUAAUGGAACGGGAACGAACAAUUUUUUUGUGUCACGUUUGAACAGAUACCUUUGAGAAGUUUAUGAUUCUCCAAGUUCUCUUUCUCCUACUGUGGCACCUACUGACAAGAUAAAUGUGUAGAGGUUCCUGAGUCUAGGGGCACUGGAACCAGCUGACUGAUCUAUGGAAGUUCCCUUGGUCUCCAUUUGUUUAGAAAAGGGAUGAAGAAACUGAGGCCCACAGAAGGUGGGUGAUACCUGCAAAAUCACAAGCUUUCAUGGUGAAAGAAGAGGGCAAAACUCAACCCGUCUCUUUAGACUUGGGAAGAAUAUGAAAGGACCAGGAGGGACACCUUUCCUAAUAACCUAGCUGAUGGUUCACUUAUUGUAAGCACAUUCUCAAACAAGAGGCUGGAAAGCUGAAAAAUGACAUUCCCAGACUCCAUUGAAAUUAGAUUUCCAGAGGUGAUUUAUGUUCCACACAUCAGAUGUAUAUGCUCAAGAUUUGUUUAACAGGGAAGGAGGCAGUGGUGUGUGGGUCCCUUUUGCUCAUGUGAAUCUUACAGAGUUGUCUCACUAAGCCCAAAUUUGUCUAACUGGCCUUAUUUCCCUGGAGUAUAUCCUGGAAGUUUCCAUUCAAGCCAAUUUAAGUUACUUUAAAUUAGGAAAGGCAGAAAACAAAAGCCCAAACCUUUGUAAAGGAGGAGGAUUUGCUACAUUGUUCUCAAUUCAUCACAGAAGAGGAUGAAACUGAGUGAUUACACUUGCUGGAGAGAAAAAAAGUCCUUCCCCCGCUCACCCCAAAUAAAGCAUUAACUUUAUGUUAAUCCAUGAA
RNAcentral lists this long non-coding RNA (2136 nucleotides) under Homo sapiens (human). RNAcentral describes it as "PREDICTED lncRNA (TCONS_00005056)". The record is from RNAcentral. Lineage: Eukaryota; Metazoa; Chordata; Mammalia; Primates; Hominidae.